This 1673-nucleotide ribosomal RNA is filed under the name Escherichia coli. Its description in RNAcentral is "bacterial LSU rRNA". It matches the Rfam family "Bacterial large subunit ribosomal RNA", at positions 1270 to 2925 of the family's 2925-position model. Lineage: Bacteria; Pseudomonadati; Pseudomonadota; Gammaproteobacteria; Enterobacterales; Enterobacteriaceae. The record is from RNAcentral.
AUGCUGGAGGUAUCAGAAGUGCGAAUGCUGACAUAAGUAACGAUAAAGCGGGUGAAAAGCCCGCUCGCCGGAAGACCAAGGGUUCCUGUCCAACGUUAAUCGGGGCAGGGUGAGUCGACCCCUAAGGCGAGGCCGAAAGGCGUAGUCGAUGGGAAACAGGUUAAUAUUCCUGUACUUGGUGUUACUGCGAAGGGGGGACGGAGAAGGCUAUGUUGGCCGGGCGACGGUUGUCCCGGUUUAAGCGUGUAGGCUGGUUUUCCAGGCAAAUCCGGAAAAUCAAGGCUGAGGCGUGAUGACGAGGCACUACGGUGCUGAAGCAACAAAUGCCCUGCUUCCAGGAAAAGCCUCUAAGCAUCAGGUAACAUCAAAUCGUACCCCAAACCGACACAGGUGGUCAGGUAGAGAAUACCAAGGCGCUUGAGAGAACUCGGGUGAAGGAACUAGGCAAAAUGGUGCCGUAACUUCGGGAGAAGGCACGCUGAUAUGUAGGUGAAGUCCCUCGCGGAUGGAGCUGAAAUCAGUCGAAGAUACCAGCUGGCUGCAACUGUUUAUUAAAAACACAGCACUGUGCAAACACGAAAGUGGACGUAUACGGUGUGACGCCUGCCCGGUGCCGGAAGGUUAAUUGAUGGGGUUAGCGCAAGCGAAGCUCUUGAUCGAAGCCCCGGUAAACGGCGGCCGUAACUAUAACGGUCCUAAGGUAGCGAAAUUCCUUGUCGGGUAAGUUCCGACCUGCACGAAUGGCGUAAUGAUGGCCAGGCUGUCUCCACCCGAGACUCAGUGAAAUUGAACUCGCUGUGAAGAUGCAGUGUACCCGCGGCAAGACGGAAAGACCCCGUGAACCUUUACUAUAGCUUGACACUGAACAUUGAGCCUUGAUGUGUAGGAUAGGUGGGAGGCUUUGAAGUGUGGACGCCAGUCUGCAUGGAGCCGACCUUGAAAUACCACCCUUUAAUGUUUGAUGUUCUAACGUUGACCCGUAAUCCGGGUUGCGGACAGUGUCUGGUGGGUAGUUUGACUGGGGCGGUCUCCUCCUAAAGAGUAACGGAGGAGCACGAAGGUUGGCUAAUCCUGGUCGGACAUCAGGAGGUUAGUGCAAUGGCAUAAGCCAGCUUGACUGCGAGCGUGACGGCGCGAGCAGGUGCGAAAGCAGGUCAUAGUGAUCCGGUGGUUCUGAAUGGAAGGGCCAUCGCUCAACGGAUAAAAGGUACUCCGGGGAUAACAGGCUGAUACCGCCCAAGAGUUCAUAUCGACGGCGGUGUUUGGCACCUCGAUGUCGGCUCAUCACAUCCUGGGGCUGAAGUAGGUCCCAAGGGUAUGGCUGUUCGCCAUUUAAAGUGGUACGCGAGCUGGGUUUAGAACGUCGUGAGACAGUUCGGUCCCUAUCUGCCGUGGGCGCUGGAGAACUGAGGGGGGCUGCUCCUAGUACGAGAGGACCGGAGUGGACGCAUCACUGGUGUUCGGGUUGUCAUGCCAAUGGCACUGCCCGGUAGCUAAAUGCGGAAGAGAUAAGUGCUGAAAGCAUCUAAGCACGAAACUUGCCCCGAGAUGAGUUCUCCCUGACUCCUUGAGAGUCCUGAAGGAACGUUGAAGACGACGACGUUGAUAGGCCGGGUGUGUAAGCGCAGCGAUGCGUUGAGCUAACCGGUACUAAUGAACCGUGAGGCUUAACC